GAUAUUUUGUGAGUGUGCUGAGCUGAAUCCUGAACCAGUUGAUGAGGAUGAAGAUGACCAGAACAACUGGGUUUUUAGUGCUGAUCAGAUGGCAUAUGAUGUUGCAAGUAUGAGAUUGACCAAUCAACUUAUCUACCUAUUAUCUCACAUAUUACUUAUUGGUAUCUCUAGAGUAAGAUUCUGGGUGGUGUUUCUCCCAAAAUCCUACUAGCUCAAUUGGUCAUUCAAACUGGGAUCAUGAUGUAGCCGGUAGAGUGCCUGAGGUAGGCCUGUGAAUGACUGCUUCACUCACAUCUUGAAAUGCCAACCAUGUUUAUUUGAUGUCUUGUACUGGUCUGGGACCUGUUUUAUAGCUGUGCUGUGCAAUACAAUAGUUUUACAUUUUCUCUGCUUGUGUUCUUA
RNAcentral lists this unclassified non-coding RNA (402 nucleotides) under Hevea brasiliensis (rubber tree). The record is from RNAcentral. Lineage: Eukaryota; Viridiplantae; Streptophyta; Magnoliopsida; Malpighiales; Euphorbiaceae.